GAGAGCUCACGCGGUUCCUAGGGAUGG
This 27-nucleotide small RNA is filed under the name Bombyx mori (domestic silkworm). Its description in RNAcentral is "ovarian small RNA-15708". The record is from RNAcentral. Lineage: Eukaryota; Metazoa; Arthropoda; Insecta; Lepidoptera; Bombycidae.